This 527-nucleotide long non-coding RNA is filed under the name Mus caroli (Ryukyu mouse). RNAcentral's name for it is "predicted gene 43348 (MGP_CAROLIEiJ_G0005659.1)". Lineage: Eukaryota; Metazoa; Chordata; Mammalia; Rodentia; Muridae. The record is from RNAcentral.
CUGAGAAAUUUGACUGGAACUUUAGGAAGGAACAGACUUUGUGUUAACAUGCCCAGAGCCACAGUCAUUGCUCUGGAGCCACGGGGCUCCAGAUUCUUAUAAAAGAAUCACAGGCAGCAUUUUCCAUGGCAAAUCAUUGGCCCCAACUGAGCCUUUAAAUAAGUCUCUGGGUUCCUGUCAGCAUGACCUUGGAGUUGUUGAACACCAUUCAACUUUGAGUCACUAUGACUUGUAAUCCAAGCACCCGGCAGCUGAGGAGUGUCCUGGAGCUUAAAUUAUGUCCGAAUAAUUCCUUGAUUGUUCAUGAUUCUGUGUUGCGUCCUUCUCAGAUGUCUGAGCAUCGGAAGAUGCAGGUGCCUUUCACCUUCAUAACCAGCUCCAGCAGAACAUGCUUCUGAUCUGUUGUACAGAAGAAAUUAAAAGAGGACCUCACUGUUUACAGAUUAAAGGUGUUUAUCUUUUGUUAUUGCUUAUAAGAACAGUGUAGGUUCAGUGUGGAAAGGACGUGUUGACUUAUAAGAGAAUUG